GUGCCAGCAGCCGCGGUAACACGUAGGGGGCGAGCGUUAUUCGGAUUUACUGGGCGUAAAGCGCGUGUAGGCGGCUCUAUAAGUUGGAUGUGAAAGCUCCCGGCUUAACUGGGAGAGGACGUUCAAAACUAUAGAGCUUGAGUACGAGAGAGGGAAAUGGAAUUCCGGGUGUAGUGGUGAAAUGCGUAGAUAUCGGGAGGAACACCAGUGGCGAAGGCGAUUUUCUGGCUCGAUACUGACGCUCAGACGCGAAAGCGAGGGUAGCAAACGGGAUUAGAGACCCCGUUGGUCCUGGCGGUAA
This 301-nucleotide ribosomal RNA is filed under the name uncultured bacterium. RNAcentral describes it as "bacterial SSU rRNA". It matches the Rfam family "Bacterial small subunit ribosomal RNA", at positions 505 to 805 of the family's 1533-position model. The record is from RNAcentral.